AGGACACUGCAGUAAGAAGAAGUUGGGAGCGACAAGCAAAGAAGACUGUAAAGAAGUUGUUCAUCAGCACAGAGUGUGAUAUCCUGAAAGCCAAAUGAAGAAAGAAGCAAGCAUCAAGAUCAAGAAGAAAGAAGUAAACCAGUUGUGUCAAAAGUUGGUUCAGGCCGGGCGCAGUGGCUCACGCUUGUCAUCCCAGUACUUUGGGAGGCUGAGAGACCAAUUAUUGAAGAUAGUUGUGCCACAAUAUGGAUGAAUCCUGGAUACAUGAAUGCCUGUGUGGAACAGAGCCCGCUGUCUACUGUAUUGGAUUCUGAGGUGCUCUGUUGUCAUGAUGGACCAUCAAUCUCUUGGGGAAGACAUCAUUCUGAGAAGACAGUUUGGACAGAGAAAAAAAUAGUUUGUACAGGAGUUUGGAGUCAUUCUGGAAAAUCACCUAUUGUCUGCCACUCUGUUUGUUUAUGGCUUAAAUACCACACUUUUGUCUGAUCGCACAGAGAGAGGACUGAGCGUCAAAUCUGAAGGAGGUAUUUCAGCAAAAGCACCACGAGAUGCUAAGUCCCUAAGGCAAUGCUGUUUUGUGGCUGCUGUGGAAGAGAGUGGCACAGAGGGAUUGGGAGCAGGGUGAGCUAGCCUGUGUCUCUCAUGAAGACGUGGUAGCAGAUGUCACUUUUUGGUGGGUGUUAACAGUGCCUCAGGGACAUAGGCAGCUUCAUGACGCUUUUGUGGCUGGCAACAACAGAACACAUCAAAGCAGAGGGGCGGGAGAGGAGGAACAUGGUGGGAUGGCAGCCAAGAGAAUUUGUUUACAAACAUCUGUGACAUUUUCAGUGACCCCCAGGGAUACUGUAUGGGGAAGAAUUUGCAUCAGAUGGGAAUCAUAGUAGUAUGUAAGGAGGAAGGAGAAAUAUACUUUUUAUUAGUGUUAAGAAAAUCCUAUUUUUAACCACUAUACUGAUUCGUCCUGAGGGAAUCUUGGUUACAUUUUAAGUAAGUGGAAUGUGUUUUAAUUGACAAAGUCGAGUUUACCCAAGGUCAAAUAGGGACAUGACAACCACUAGCAAUGAUUGUAAAUGAUUCAUGAAGCUUGGGAGAGGUGAUCAAAGUCAAUGAAAGGAGCAAUUUGAAGUCCAUUCUCAUGAAAUCAUAGACAUGAUAGUGCAUUGUGAUAUGGAUCCAUCAGUGUGUCAUACUGUGAAACAAACAAACAAACUGAAUAUCUUACCAGAAAUCAAUUCCUAAGCAGCCGUAAGAGCGCAGGGUUUUGGGUGAAAAAUAGCAGGGCUUUGCAGAGAAUCAAUAACAUCAAACUAGCCUGUUUUCCUUCUGUGACAGAGUGAUAGACAAAUUGAAACACAUUAUAUUUUGACUUUGCUAAGGCUUUUGAUUUUUCUCAGUGAGAAUUUUUCAACACAGAGGGUAAUUCAACAGAUAUCUUUGGAAUGCUAAGGGCAUAUGCUACGUAACAGGUAUACUGUGAUUAUCAUUCUCUUUCUGUGAGAGAUAGGGAAUCUUGUGAGAGUGGAAAGAAAUGUGGGCUGGUAAGUACAAAUUAGGGCUAACCGCCUUUAACCUAAUUAGGUGCAAAGUGCUAGAAGUAGCACAAACGUAGAGCCCCUAGAACUCCCUGGGGUGGUCUCAGAAACCUCCGUUAAAUAAGGAAAACUUGAGUAAUAGCUAGGAAUCUGGCUAUUACUCAAGAGAGCUGGAAAUAAGGUCUUGGGAGUUAGGAUAAAAGCAUUUAUCUCUACUACUUGCACACUCACAAAAAUAUGCAAGAGCUGCCACAAACUCCCCAAAGUGCAUUGUCAUUCUCCUCCAGGACCUAAAAAGUUGAUCUUUGUAUCUAGAAACAUGGACAUAGCUCUGAAUUCAAAAAAUUAAGGUGGGAAUAGUAGUAGAAGAUAAAACAAAGAAACACACACACCAAGAUACAGUCCUAGACCUGUCUGAUCAUUUGAUUGCCAUUAUAAUCUUAUGAGUCCACAAUCAAUCAGUCAACUCUGCAGAUGGUAGCUGCCAAUACAAGUAUUUCUCUGCUGUCUAAUUGACUAUCCUUUCCUUGCUUGCUAGCAAAUGAAAGAAAAUGAUAUCACAUGUUUCAGCUGAUCAAGGAAUAACUGGCCAGGGGUCACUUGGUAUGACAGCCAUCCAGGUUUCAGAAAUGACACAAAAGAUAUGGAUAAAGUCACUGACUGGAGAUAAUGGUGUCAGGAGACACAAAUGCAUAUAUUAUCUGCAUUUCCCUGAUCUCUGCAUUUUCUUUCAUGCUGCAGUUUGGGGAAUAAAUGGUGGAAAUAAAUAUUGACUCCUGGGUCAUGACAACUGGUACAUAUCUUUGCUACAUGUUUAAUAUUUUUGUUGUAACAAUAAUUAGUUACAACACAAAAAUUAUACAUUGUCUUUAGUUUAAGUAGUAGGAAGUUGGAGUUCUUUUGUUUCUUGAUUCACCCAUAAAAGGAAAAGUAAAUCCACACAUUCUAAAAGGGAAAAAAUAGGUUAAAACAAAGAUUUGGACCUAAGUCCUUAGUAGGACUAUCUUGAAUGGAUUCAUAUGCUAAAGGGUCAGAGAAUGCAAGAUAAUUGGAGAAUUUGCAGUGAACUUGCAGUGAAUGCAAUACAGUUGUACCCCCAAAUACUUUUGUAUUGCUAGAAACAGUGUAUGGAACAUAUUGCAGAAGUGAGGGGCUAGAAAAUUGGAAAACAACCAGAUUAUGGAAGGUCUCAUGUAUACUAUUCUGGGUCUUUUCAAAUCCUUCACCUCUAUCAAAACUCGUACUAUUUCCCAUCACGUUUUUCUCAUUUAUUGAUUCAUUAAUCUACUUUUUCUUUCUCAAACGUUUCUGUUGAUACAAAACAUACAUGUAGAAAACUGCAAAACUCAGUAAGUUUUCACAGGUUGAAUAGAUCUAUGUAAACAGCACCUAGAUGAAGAAACAGAACAUGAUUGGUACCCAAAAACUCCAUAUAGCACCUUCCUAAUUCCCCCCAAAGAUAAGUACCAUCCCGGCUUCUAACAACAUAGGUUGAUUUUACCUGUUUAUAAACUUUAUACAAAUGAAAGUGUACAAUAUUUUUUCUUUUGUGACUGGUUUCUUUUGCUCAACAUUACAUUUGUGAGAUUUAUCCAUAUUGUUGCAUGUAUUUAUAGUUAACGUAUUGUCACUGAUGUAUAAGAUUCCAUUAUGUAAAUAUACUGCAUUUUAUUUACCUCUUCAACUAUACAUAGAUAUUUGAUUCACAUUUAGUUUUUGGCUAUUGUAAGUAGUACUGA
RNAcentral lists this long non-coding RNA (3271 nucleotides) under Homo sapiens (human). RNAcentral's name for it is "LHRI_LNC1449.5". The record is from RNAcentral. Lineage: Eukaryota; Metazoa; Chordata; Mammalia; Primates; Hominidae.